This 297-nucleotide unclassified non-coding RNA is filed under the name uncultured fungus. RNAcentral describes it as "sequence contains ITS1, 5.8S rRNA gene". The stretch from base 249 to 297 matches the Rfam family "5.8S ribosomal RNA", at positions 1 to 49 of the family's 154-position model. Lineage: Eukaryota; Fungi. The record is from RNAcentral.
UUUCCGUAGGUGAGUAACGAACAUAUCCAUAUCUAUUUCUGAGAACUUAGCUAACUUAAUCACAGGUGAACCUGCGGAAGGAUCAUUACAGAGUUUGAUCUUUUGAUUAAGAUCAUCUCCGACCCUUUGUGAACUUAAACUGUUGCUUUCACGGACCAUCUUCUCGAAGACUUUGGCUUUUGCUGGAGAGUGUCUGUGAAGGACUUUAAACUCUUAAUCUUGACAUCUGAACCUUUUAAAAUAAAUAAAACUUUCAACAACGGAUCUCUUGGUUCUGGCAUCGAUGAAGAACGCAGC